Molecule: non-coding RNA, 1132 nt
Filed under: Nematostella vectensis (starlet sea anemone)
Lineage: Eukaryota; Metazoa; Cnidaria; Anthozoa; Actiniaria; Edwardsiidae
Description: Eukaryotic large subunit ribosomal RNA
Rfam family: Eukaryotic large subunit ribosomal RNA
Source: Rfam by way of RNAcentral
AGUCGGGUUGUUUGGGAAUGCAGCCCAAAAUGGGUGGUAAACUCCAUCUAAAGCUAAAUAUUGGCACGAGACCGAUAGCGAACAAGUACCGUGAGGGAAAGAUGAAAAGCACUUUGAAAAGAGAGUUAAAAAGUACGUGAAACCGUUAAAAGGGAAACGAAUGGGGUUAGCAAUGCGUCGUGCGAGAUUCAGCCGGUGGGUGGGCCAGGCGGGCGGUUGGCGGAUCUGAAUGGACCGCUGCCGUUCGGGUUGGUUUCCCGACCGUCGCACUUCUCGCAGGCGCGCGCCAACGUCGGUUAGGGCUGGGUCUCAAAGGCGGUGGAAAGGUAGGUUUGGACUCUCGGGCCCGAACUGUUACAGUCCUCCGUUCGUCAUGGCCCGGACCUGACCGAGGAGCUUGCGGUGCAUGCCCUUUCGGCUAGGGUCCCGUCUUCCCGGUCGGUCGUCGAAUGCGGUGGACUGCGUGCAGUGCGCCGCGACUGCUGCCGGUCGCGAGGGCGGUGAUUUCGUACUAUGCACCCACGACGUUGGCGGUCUAAAAGAGCCUGGCGCGAGCGCGGGAAACCUUUUGAUAAUCUAUAACGUUAGGGUCUUGGCUGGUUUCAAAAUUACGGUCAGCAUAAUCGCUGUAAAACAUUAAUUCCUGUAUGUCUACGUGUAAAUUCUCGACGUGCACUGUUCAAAGAAAGGAAAACAAAUGAAGCGGCGGACUCCCAAAUAUGGUAUGUAAUUCAAAAUAAGGAAUUGGCUGAGCAAGCGAGAAAAACUACAAUUUUCAAAACAAAAUUGUUUGAUAUGACUAUGAUUUUUAGUUCCAGCCAAUCUCGUUCCCAGAGCCCACAUACAUGCUGCUGCUCAAAAGGUAAGAGACUUUGGAAUGAGGCAGAGUUCCAUUCCAACUACAAUAAUGAUUGCGUAUGUGCAGUGUCCAACUUGAAGACGGACUCGUAAUCAUUGGCUAAAGUUGGAGGUAGAGAAGGAAGAAAGAAAGGAGGACCUUACAAAGAAGGCACCAGAAGGCUUCUGAUCUGGUGGACGGAAUUUUUCAGUUGUGCGCUAUGCUAAUAACAGGGUUUUUUUCAAAUCACAUUUGUUGCACAAAUUUUCUCCGUCCUACAUCCACAUCACCAUA